GACGAACGCUGGCGGCGUGCUUAACACAUGCAAGUCGAACGGAAAGGCCCUGCUUGCAGGGUACUCGAGUGGCGAACGGGUGAGUAACACGUGGGUGAUCUGCCCUGCACUUCGGGAUAAGCCUGGGAAACUGGGUCUAAUACCGGAUAGGAGCCAUUUUUAGUGUGAUGGUUGGAAAGUUUUUUCGGUGUAGGAUGAGCUCGCGGCCUAUCAGCUUGUUGGUGGGGUAAUGGCCUACCAAGGCGGCGACGGGUAGCCGGCCUGAGAGGGUGGACGGCCACAUUGGGACUGAGAGACGGCCCAGACUCCUACGGGAGGCAGCAGUGGGGAAGAUUGCACAAUGGGCGCAAGCCUGAUGCAGCGACGCCGCGUGGGGGAUGACGGCCUUCGGGUUGUAAACUCCUUUCGCUAGGGACGAAGCUUUUUGUGACGGUACCUAGAUAAGAAGCACCGGCUAACUACGUG
Molecule: ribosomal RNA, 465 nt
Filed under: uncultured bacterium
Lineage: Bacteria
Description: partial 16S ribosomal RNA
Rfam family: Bacterial small subunit ribosomal RNA
Source: RNAcentral